AGUAAUGCGUUCAAUAAUAAAUUCGAACGAAUUUGAAAUAAGGUUCUAAUGGUCAAUAAGUUUCAAUAAAUUUCAAUCAGGUCAACACGUUUACUCUAACUUUAUAGUUUACUCUCUUGCAAUCAUGUAUGAAUAGGUCCAAUUAGUUCAAUUCGGAUCAAUCAAGUAUUCAAAACUCUCGAUCUGGCACUUUCUUUCUCUUCGAUCCCCUCCAAAUCUCAGGCAAUGUGGAAUCCUUCCUCAAGGUAACAUCAAAGCUGAAGCAUGGAGCAACUGACGAUGAUUACACAGAAUAAGCUGCAGUUGACCUGGUAGUGAAACUCAUUGCUGCAUCCUUCCUACCCUACCAAAGAGUUCUCUGAGCUAAUUUUUUAUAUUCAAGCUGACAUGAUUUCUGUCAUCCCAGAUCCUGGUUGAUGGAUUUUGGUCCAGUCAUAUUAUCAGGAACAAGUCAUGUUUUAUAGUCUGUUAUCUUUUCUUUGCAUCUCAAAUUUCUACUAUACUUUUUUAAACCUUUUGCUAGCGUUUUUGGUAUUGUGGCAACUAGUCUGCUACUAGUGAGCUCUUUAGGUUGUUUUUUUGUGCCUAUUUUAGUUUCAGGUUGUUCGUAAAUUCACAUUCAGGUUGCAAUUCGUGAAGACUGUGCAUAUUGUUAGUGUUAUUGAUAUGCAGACUGAAAGCUUCUCUGGUAAAAUUGAUACACUUAGUUUCAGAUAAAUAGAUUGAUAUACUUAGUUUCAUUCUCUCUUUUCUCUGUUCUAUUUCUUCCCCUACUGGUUCUUAUUUUUCCCGCCUAAUUGUAUCUGCAAGUAGGCUUAGUACACUGUGAGAUUCACCCUUAUCAGAAUUGUGUAGAUUAAAGAAGUGUGCUUUUAUCCACUUUGUGUAUGCUUUCGUCUUGUAUUCACUUCAAUAAAAUAAAUAUUACGGAGUACCUGCUAAUUAGUAUUUGUCAUUUAUCUUGGGUGUCAGACUGCAUCACUUGAGCUCUAAAUAUGGUAUCAUUAAGCUCAGAUAAUGCAGAAUUUUACUGUAUGAAGUGCAAACUUAAUCAAUCAGGUAAAUAUGUAGCUUAAUGUAUAACUGUAUAAGCAACAAAUGACCACUUUGUCUUUUGUUUGUUUGGGAAACAGGUUAGUAGAUCAUGUUAGCCGCACCCCAUAAGUUAAAACUGAUUUACUUAAUAUUCUUCUGAUAUUUAAUUGUCUUUUUGAGCUUCUUAUUGAACGGUAAAUUUUAUUCACUUAUUGCAGGGAAAAUGGUUCCUCCAAAUGCAAAAGUGGUUCAUUCCAAUGAGAAAAUGGAUCUUCCAACCUUCGUUGCCGAGAUCUAAAAGGAACUAUGUGCCACCUCUUGCAAGAGGACAUGUACAAAGCUUAGAACAAUUGUAUUCUUUCCAAAGACAAGCUUAAUACUGUUAAUUCCAUUGUAAUCAAGUAUAUAAUACAUUCAUACUCCUGUAUCAUAGUUGUAUUUUGUUUUCAUUGGAUAUCAGUAUGUCACAUAUAUCAUUCCCUUUUAUAUCA
Spinacia oleracea (spinach) is the source of this 1526-nucleotide long non-coding RNA. RefSeq lists it as uncharacterized. The record is from RefSeq and is a predicted model, not a curated record. The transcript has 2 exons. Lineage: Eukaryota; Viridiplantae; Streptophyta; Magnoliopsida; Caryophyllales; Amaranthaceae.